RNAcentral lists this ribosomal RNA (253 nucleotides) under uncultured bacterium. Its description in RNAcentral is "partial 16S ribosomal RNA". It matches the Rfam family "Bacterial small subunit ribosomal RNA", at positions 524 to 776 of the family's 1533-position model. RNAcentral also lists the same sequence under 1 other name. The record is from RNAcentral.
UACGUAGGGCGCAAGCGUUGUCCGGAAUUAUUGGGCGUAAAGAGCUCGUAGGCGGCUUGUCACGUCGGUUGUGAAAGCCCGGGGCUUAACCCCGGGUCUGCAGUCGAUACGGGCUAGCUAGAGUGUGGUAGGGGAGAUCGGAAUUCCUGGUGUAGCGGUGAAAUGCGCAGAUAUCAGGAGGAACACCGGUGGCGAAGGCGGAUCUCUGGGCCAUUACUGACGCUGAGGAGCGAAAGCGUGGGGAGCGAACAGG